This 73-nucleotide transfer RNA is filed under the name Ictidomys tridecemlineatus (thirteen-lined ground squirrel). Its description in RNAcentral is "Spermophilus tridecemlineatus (thirteen-lined ground squirrel) tRNA". It matches the Rfam family "tRNA". Rfam says of the family: Transfer RNA (tRNA) molecules are approximately 80 nucleotides in length. Their secondary structure includes four short double-helical elements and three loops (D, anti-codon, and T loops). Lineage: Eukaryota; Metazoa; Chordata; Mammalia; Rodentia; Sciuridae. The record is from Rfam by way of RNAcentral.
GUAGGUAUAGCUCAGUUGGUAGAGCACUUGCCUCAAAUGCACAAAGUCCUGGGUUCGAUCCCCAGCACCACCA